UAAAAGAAUAGAUAUACCUUGUAUAAUUUCAAGAAUACGGCUUGAAAGUUUCUACUAGCUACCAAUAAAUAGCUUGUCUACAAGGAAUGGGAAAU
RNAcentral lists this non-coding RNA (95 nucleotides) under uncultured Psychrobacillus sp. RNAcentral's name for it is "Purine riboswitch". It matches the Rfam family "Purine riboswitch aptamer". Rfam says of the family: Riboswitches are metabolite binding domains within certain messenger RNAs that serve as precision sensors for their corresponding targets. Allosteric rearrangement of mRNA structure is mediated by ligand binding, and this results in modulation of gene expression. Lineage: Bacteria; Bacillati; Bacillota; Bacilli; Caryophanales; Bacillaceae. The record is from RNAcentral.